RNAcentral lists this long non-coding RNA (1159 nucleotides) under Mytilus galloprovincialis (Mediterranean mussel). The record is from RNAcentral. Lineage: Eukaryota; Metazoa; Mollusca; Bivalvia; Mytilida; Mytilidae.
CCCCCCAUCUCCUUUCACUUCAAUCUGACAGACCACAGAAUAACGAUAACACGUCAUAAUUUAAUAACAAAAACAAAAUAACACAAAAAAAAAAAAUACAUCUGAUUAGCAUUUUAAGAAUUGGCACAGAAUAGACAUAGUUUAAUAUAAUACUGUAUAAUGACAAACGUGUAUGUCAAUAUGUCUUCACAAUAACCGUUACAGAUAUAGAGCAACAGAAAAGUGAAAAAUCUUAAUUAAUGUUUCUUGUUAGACAAAUUAUAUCAAAACCUAUACCUAAAUAAGAAAAUCGUAAGGGUUCUGCGUUACCAGUGUCUCGCCUACUUUUGCUGUUGUCGAAGUUUUCAUAAACAAGCUUCACUCCAAGUUUAAUUUUAAUAACUUUCUCAAACUAUCCUGAAUUUUUAACAGAAGUUUGUUAAUGAUCAUAAGAUUGUAUCGAAAUAGCAUAUCAUAAACAGCUUUGCCAUAUUGUUGAGAUCUAAAAAAGCAAUCCUUAUGUCUUGACUUUUGCGACUUUCGACGCAUUGUAUACGCAACACGGUGAGCACUAUAUCUUGAUUAAAUAAAAUGUCCACAUGAAGAAAAUAUUUCAAUUUAAACAUAAUAAAUAAUUAUUCCAUUGGUUGUUCAUUUUUUUGAAAAUACACAAACUGUGAACUAGUGUACUAAAAUAAAGGUAUCUACAUUGAUUCAGUGCUAAUGUUCUUAAUUAAAUAAUUUCAAUAAAUGGUGAGCACGUUCAAUAAAACUAAUUCUACAUUGCAUAUAAAAAACAUAUCUAUACAUAAACUUAAAUCAUAAAACAUCUAUUGUAAACCACGUGACUGUUGGCCAGGUAAACUUAAAUCAUAAAACAUCUAUUGUAAACCACGUGACUGUUGGCCAUGUAAACUUAAAUCAUAAAACAUCUAUUGUAAAUCAUUACACAACAGCUACGUGACUGUUGGCCAGGUAAACUUAAAUCAUAAAACAUAUAUUGUAAACCAUUGCACAACAGCUACGCGACUGUUGACCAGGUAAACUUAAAUCAUAAAACAUCUAUUGUAAACCAUUACACAACAGCUACGUGACUGUUCGCCAGGUAAACUUAAAUCAUAAAACAUCUAUUGUAAACCAUUACACAACAGCUACGUGACUGUUGGCCAGGUAUUCUUUU